UACGUAGGGAGCAAGCGUUGUCCGGAAUCAUUGGGCGUAAAGCGCGCGUAGGUGGCCACAUAAGUCCGUUGUGAAAGUCAAAGGCUCAACCUUUGAAAGCCGAUGGAUACUGUGUGGCUAGAGUACGGAAGAGGCGAGUGGAAUUCCUGGUGUAGCGGUGGAAUGCGCAGAUAUCUGGAGGAACACCGGUGGCGAAGGCGGGUCUCUGGGCAGUAACUGACGCUGAGGAGCGAAAGCGUGGGGAGCGAACAGG
This 253-nucleotide ribosomal RNA is filed under the name uncultured bacterium. RNAcentral describes it as "partial 16S ribosomal RNA". It matches the Rfam family "Bacterial small subunit ribosomal RNA", at positions 524 to 776 of the family's 1533-position model. The record is from RNAcentral.